UGGUGCACUUUCCUUUUUUUAUCCAAAAGAGUGUUUGCAAAUGGUGCUGUGCUCUUCUGUCACGUGGUGCCCUAAGGAGGUACCUGGGGCUGCAGUGUCCAUCCAUCCGUCUGCUCCCGGGAGUGCAUUGCAGAAAGCACUGUGACAGCUGGAGGAGACCUGGGAUCAAACCAGCACAUUCCCAUGAUUAUUCUCUUGGCCAUCACGUAAUGCACCCUAAAUAGCUUUGAAUUGAUGUCACAUGAGGGAAUGAUGCAAAUAUAUAUCUGUUCUUUCCAGUUGUCCUGGAAGCCCUCACUUACCCACCUUUACCAGCAUGAACCUUUUCAGUGGGCUUUUGAAGAGAAAGGAACAGAUCAGCAAAACAUGAAUGAAAGUGGGAUGGCUACAAGGGAGACUGAAAGAAAGGUUGUUUCUAUACCUACCUCCAGUGUGUGAACCAUGAGUGCUCCUCGCUUCAUUUUUCCUAAUGUAUAACUCAGAUCUCCUUCAGUCUUUCAGCUGAUAUUGGAUACCUAUUAGGCUGAGGAUAAAGCAUUUUGCCCACUAAGGCAAGCCAACAACAACACCUGUACUUAUUUCCCAAUCCAUGCUGUCAUGAUGAUAAUGAUAAAGAAUCACUUUUCCUACACUUUUGAAAGGACAUCCUUGCCUACUUUUCCCUGCUGGUGUUUGCUCUAAGCCUGCAGCUGAACAUAAUAACCUGCAUGUCCUGCAUGGAGGGAUGGCACCAGAGCACAUACUUUCAGGAGACCUCUUUUGCUGAGGACAGGUGAGGAGAUUUUUGUGUUAUCCCAGCUCUCUGGUUAGAGAUCAUGGUGCAUUUCCGGUCAAGAACAUUUUCUACAGAGUCUUGGUAGUACAGUAUAGCAUUCCUGGGUGUCCCUCCAGCAUGGACUGUAACAAAAUCUGUUGUUUCAUGCAAGGGAAGCUAUUAUGACUUUGCUGAUGCUCCCGUUCUCCUCUGUUACCUUCCUCUUUCUUUUCCUGCUCCUCGCUGGGACAUCUAUCCCUUUUACCCCCUUUACUCCAGUACCCCAGAAACUAUUGUGCUGGCUUUGCUCCAGACAGCAUCAGCUUUCUGAGGACAGUGGGUUGUUCCAGCAAAGUGAUGGGGCUCAUAGCAUGGAUGGUGGUCAUGGAAUCAUAGAAUGGCUUUGGUAGGAAGGGACUUUAAAAAUUGUCCCAACUCCUCUGCCUUGGGCAGAGUUGCCACCCACUGGAUCAGGCCACCCAGGGCCCUAUCCAAGAGGUGAGUGACAUCAGACACAUGCAGUCCUUGCUACUUUGCAAUAAGCUGUGGCACAUAGACCUGAGUGCUUGUGUGUAAACAGGAGAGGUGACUUCUGGGCAGGAUGACCCAGGGCAGGAAAGGUGCUGGGACCAGGCCGGUGCAGAACAAUGCAUGUGGGAUGUGGGAGGGCUGCCAGCAGGGGAGAGUGGGAAGGCUCCCGUAUGAACCUGAGAGCAAACAAACUUGCUGCCAAGUAGCACUGCUCCUGCUCCAAGGAGGAUCGCUUAUUGCAGUUUGAAUUAUUAGCUCAUUUGUUGUAGUAAAAGACUGCGUGGACGCAAGGCACUGUGAGGAGACCAAACUAAAAUUACAUCUGUGCGCAAAAAAGGCCUGGGAGCGUAUUUAUAUCCCUGCUUUGCCAUGGGACUGUUAUUCAAAGCACAAUAUAAAUCAUUAUGUAAAAAUCAAAAAACCUUUGGUCUCUGCAAUGACUCUGACAUGAAAACACACAGUUGACGCUAAGCAGAAUUGCUAAUACUUGAUGCUCAAGUAGACUUCUGCAGUGUGUAAUUUAUAUCACUGCUAACGUAUGGGGCAUUUGCGUUGGCAAAUGGACUGAGCAGCAAGGUUUGGUGUGUUCCCAGCACACAACCAAUGUGCUCAAUCAGAAAAUCACUGAAACCAUAUGGAAGGGAACCAUCCUCCUCCACUUGCUGCACUUUAAAAAAAAUCCUUUUAAAUCAUUUUAAAUCUUUUUAAUGGUUUCCUUUAAAACCUGAACAUUAAUUUCCACAUCAUCUGACCAAUUUGAAGUAGCAAUGCAAAACAGAGCUCUAGAAAUCC
Long non-coding RNA from Numida meleagris (helmeted guineafowl), 2077 nucleotides. RefSeq lists it as uncharacterized. The record is from RefSeq and is a predicted model, not a curated record. NCBI's taxonomy places the organism in Eukaryota, Metazoa, Chordata, Aves, Galliformes, Numididae. The transcript is spliced from 4 exons.